GACGAACGCNGGCGGCGUGCUUAACACAUGCAAGUCGAACGAAGAGCGAUGGAAGCUUGCUUCUAUCAAUCUUAGUGGCGAACGGGUGAGUAACGCGUAAUCAACCUGCCCUUCAGAGGGGGACAACAGUUGGAAACGACUGCUAAUACCGCAUACGAUCUAACCUCGGCAUCGAGGAUAGAUGAAAGGUGGCCUCUACAUGUAAGCUAUCACUGAAGGAGGGGAUUGCGUCUGAUUAGCUAGUUGGAGGGGUAACGGCCCACCAAGGCGAUGAUCAGUAGCCGGUCUGAGAGGAUGAACGGCCACAUUGGGACUGAGACACGGCCCAGACUCCUACGGGAGGCAGCAGUGGGGAAUCUUCCGCAAUGGACGAAAGUCUGACGGAGCAACGCCGCGUGAGUGAUGACGGCCUUCGGGUUGUAAAGCUCUGUUAAUCGGGACGAAAGGCCUUCUUGCGAAUAGUUAGAAGGAUGAC
RNAcentral lists this ribosomal RNA (475 nucleotides) under uncultured bacterium. Its description in RNAcentral is "bacterial SSU rRNA". It matches the Rfam family "Bacterial small subunit ribosomal RNA", at positions 28 to 473 of the family's 1533-position model. The record is from RNAcentral.